CUGCCUAUUCCCUGCUUCAAGGAGUGCGUUGUGUUGUGGGUAUGGUUAGAGGAAGUGUGCUAUUCAGCAAGCCCUUAGCGUGGGCAAUCUUCUCUGGGGAUCAGGUGAUGGCAUACCUGACAGUAGCUGCUGUUGCAGCUGCUGCCCAGUCUGCUGUGUUUGCAAAGUUGGGACAACCAGAACUACAAUGGAUGAAGAUAUGCAAUAUGUAUGGAAAAUUCUGCAACCAAGUUGGGGAGGGAAUAGGGAGUGCACUGUUGGUUAGUCUUGGCAUGGUGGUAUUGUCUUCUAUCUCAGCUUUCAGCCUCUUCCGCUUGUAUGGGGCCAACAAGGGUAAGGGCAGCACAAGGUGGUAGGUUUUUGUAUCUGUUAAUUCAACCAUCUUGCCCUGUCUACGUUCUACUAAAGGUUUUGGUCCUUUAGGAGGAUGCUGGCUCUUUUAUGCAUAAGAUGAUGAAGAAAAAUAGUGUACUUUAUGACUGCCAUUUUUACAAUAAAUCAAGCUUUUGUC
Molecule: unclassified non-coding RNA, 511 nt
Filed under: Hevea brasiliensis (rubber tree)
Lineage: Eukaryota; Viridiplantae; Streptophyta; Magnoliopsida; Malpighiales; Euphorbiaceae
Source: RNAcentral